Molecule: long non-coding RNA, 470 nt
Organism: Eurytemora carolleeae
Lineage: Eukaryota; Metazoa; Arthropoda; Copepoda; Calanoida; Temoridae
Exons: 4
Source: RefSeq, a predicted model, not a curated record
UCUUGAUUUAAAUGAUGUUUUAUCAAAAAUGAUUUUGCAGGAAAUCUUCUCUUGUUCUUCCUGAUGGUCAUGACAAGCAUCAAAGAAGAACUUCCUUUGUCAGCUUUGAUGAAACUCCAGUCAUUAUUGAGAGAGGAGACGAUUUACCAGAUGCGACAGAUGAUACCCCUGAUACCCCCUCUGCUCUGACCGCUACACCGGAUCUCAGUCCUUCAAUGAAGAAUAAGUUCAGAUGGACAGAUAGUAUUAAGAUCCGUAAGAAGAAGAGUGUGGACGAGGGUGUGAAGGGUCCCCUGGCAGCUGAGCCGCAAGAUGAGUCAUCUUGAUUUUAUUUUGAAUAUAAAGUGUUUUGUAGCAAGUUUUUAUUUUCUUUAAAAACUCUGUUCGUAUUAAUAAAGUAAUUGUAAGUAAACAUAUAUGUAAUUCGAAACAUAUCAUUUUUGAUAAAUAUAUGUCUUUUGGAAAAAAAA